AUGGAAUGUAAGAUGUGUUAUAGUAUAACUAUUGAUGCGAUGAAACCAAUCGUAUUGGUGAAAGGACGUGCACGAGCGGAAGCUCAUAACACGAAGGAAUGAAACUUGGCCUGUACGGCUAGUGCACGAGGAGAAGAUGAUCGAUCAGGGUUGCGGAUCGUGGUUGGGAAAUGAAAAAGAGGUUAGUAAAAUGUCUAACUCAUGAUUGGAGAGAUAUGAACUGUCUAUACACGUGAAUUAAGUAAUGCAUGAAGUGAAAGCGAUAGUAAUGUGAAAUGAACGGAAUGAUUUAAAGAUACUAUAAAGGUAUGCAAGGUAUACGUAAAUGUAGAAAAGGUAGAUUAAGGUUAACGUUAAAGUUAAGCAUAUAUGAGUAUGUAUAGAUUUCGGGUAAUGGUUAAAUUCUCGUAAGAUGAAAUACAUGAUACACAUACGUAUGUAAACUAAAUAAUGCACGAAGUGAGAAUAAUUGUA
RNAcentral lists this long non-coding RNA (474 nucleotides) under Helianthus annuus (common sunflower). RNAcentral's name for it is "hypothetical non coding rna". The record is from RNAcentral. Lineage: Eukaryota; Viridiplantae; Streptophyta; Magnoliopsida; Asterales; Asteraceae.